UAUCUCUGUAGAGUCUGCAUAUCAAUAAGCGGAGGAAAAGAAACUAACUAGGAUUCCCUCAGUAACGGCGAGUGAAGCGGGAAGAGCUCAAAUUUGAAAUCUUCAAGGUUUUACCUUGACGAAUUGUAGUUUAAAGAAGUGUUUUCUGUUGGAUGUUUUGGUAAAAGUUCUUUGGAAUAGGACAUCAUAGAGGGUGAGAAUCCCGUAUUUGACCAUUACUUCCAGCGUUGUGAUACACUUUCAAAGAGUCGGAUUGUUUGGGAAUGCAGUCCAAGAUGGGUGGUAAAUUUCAUCUAAAGCUAAAUAUUGGCGAGAGACCGAUAGCGAACAAGUACCGUGAGGGAAAGAUGAAAAGAACUUUGAAAAGAGAGUUAAACAGUACGUGAAAUUGUCAAAAGGGAAGCGUUUGACACCAGUGUUGUUUUUCCGAAAAUCAAUUACGAAUGGCUUGAUUUUGUGUUGUAUUGACCUUAUCAGCUUUCUUCACUUUUUUCGAGUCUUUCUUAAUGCACUUUUCGGUUAACAAGUCAACAUCAAUUUCUUUUGUUGUAAAAGAGUAUUCGGAAGGUGGCUUUCUUUUCGGAGAAAGUGUUUAUAGCCCUAUACUUCUACAAUCGGAGAGAUUGAGGUCUGCAGCGUAGAUCCUUCGGGGUUAGAUACACUUGUGCUAAGUUGUAGCUUUUCAUAGACAGCUUGUUGACUAUGUUUAGUCAUGCGGCUUACUCGCUUGUGCUAUUUUACCUACGCUUAGGAUGUUGACGAGACUGUCGAUCUC
RNAcentral lists this ribosomal RNA (775 nucleotides) under uncultured Neocallimastigales. RNAcentral describes it as "partial large subunit ribosomal RNA". It matches the Rfam family "Eukaryotic large subunit ribosomal RNA", at positions 24 to 647 of the family's 3401-position model. The record is from RNAcentral. Lineage: Eukaryota; Fungi; Neocallimastigomycota; Neocallimastigomycetes; Neocallimastigales.